Molecule: long non-coding RNA, 501 nt
Filed under: Selaginella moellendorffii
Lineage: Eukaryota; Viridiplantae; Streptophyta; Lycopodiopsida; Selaginellales; Selaginellaceae
Description: long non-coding RNA (SMOE_LNC000808)
Source: RNAcentral
CAUGCGGCGAUCGAGGACUUUGGUCUGGUUGCUUGCUUGGAUUUGAUCAAUCCCCGCGGGAUCGAAGAGAAAAGUGUGGGGAGAAGUGCGUAACGGGCUCGCCUUGCCGGUAAGUCUCUCGCAGCAUUUGUUUAAGCUCGUGAAAUCUAACGCCUUUGUUUUGCAUCAGGAGAGGAGGGAUUUUAAUUGUUCUUCGCUGUCGGGAUUAAGCAGCUGGAAGUUUGUUUCUUUUUCUGCGUUUCUCGGACAUCGCUGAUCAGGCUUCUCUUUAAAUACUGGUAAAAAUCUCUGUUUUUUUGGUCUUUGCGGAGCUCCAGAGAGGUCAGUCUCGUCACUUUGCUUCAAAGCUCGUUUUAAAGUUUAAACUUCUGGCAUUGCUUGACACUUCCAAUGGCAGGCUCGAAGGAUUCGAUCGAGAGAAGCGAGUCUUACUCCCUCUCAACAGGCAGGCAGACAUGAUCAAGAAAAAACAAUUCUCGAGAUCGCGAAGAUAAAUGGCCA